RNAcentral lists this long non-coding RNA (1726 nucleotides) under Salmo salar (Atlantic salmon). RNAcentral describes it as "lncRNA (ENSSSAG00000116933.1)". The record is from RNAcentral. Lineage: Eukaryota; Metazoa; Chordata; Actinopteri; Salmoniformes; Salmonidae.
ACAAGUUGGGGCAAAAACACAAAUGGGGGAAGGGAAAAAAAAGCUUCUUUAGUCUUUGUUUGAAGAGCCAGAGCCCUCAGGAUCAACCUGGCUAAAGUUACAUGUUCUUAAUUGGGAGGCUGUUCUGGAGUAGCAAAUCUCUAGAAGGACUACAGCAUUGCCUCGCCAGCUUAUUUAAAGGAAAACGGGCUGUGUUCUGUUUGACGAGGGGAAAAAAACGACUGCAUCCACCAGAAGACAAAUCUGUAUUACGAUGACAAAUGUAUUAUUUUCUUCUCGAUUCCAGUUUUGGCAGUGCAGCAGAACUAUGGAAGAACUACGAUUUAGCAUUUCUGUUUUUGAAUUAAACUCAUGCUGAUUUAGUUUGACGGAUGGGUUAUGAAAAUGAAAAUCAACUUUUGAGUCUUUAUUUCAUAUCGUUAAUUAACAAGCUCCUUUGAGCUCAAGGGAAACAUUAUGUUUACAAACCUGUGUUAGAAUGUUUGCCCAAAAAUGUACUGUUCUGGUAUUCCAGUGGGGCAUCUACCUACUAGUUGUCACACUGAUACCAGAGUCAGGAUAUGAAAUGUAUUCCCUGGAAAAUUGCUUCUUUUUCUUUUCUUUUUUGAGGGGGGCGGGGAUAUUCUAAUACUUAUUCUUCAUUUGAACUUUUUUCCGGUUUCUGGGGGGUUGGGGGUAUAAAAAAAAAUAUAUAAUUAUAUAUAAUUGUAAGAAACUGAAGAUGCGAACUUGCUGCAGUAUGGUGUAACGUAAGUCUGUGAUAGAGCUCAUAUCAACUGUCGUGAAAUGAUUGGGGCUUCUUUUGAAUGGGCCAGUCUCUGCAGCAGACCGACUCUUUCCAGAGGUAGUGUCACUUUUUAAAACAGGAGCUUGGCUCUCUCCAGUCACAAAAGCCAACUAUAUUUCAGUGUUGCUGUAUUUCAAUUUAAUAGUCAAACUCUAUAAGGACCAUGAGCUCAACAUGGUUAAGAGGGAUUUGUAGACAUGAAAAAUACUUAUUUGCAGAUCCUGAAUAAUUGUGACUCAUGAGUCCCAAGAGGAGUACUGAAGUACAAGGUCCAUUCCCAGGAGAGUGGGUACUUGGUCGGAGCCUCACUCAAGUAACUUGUGAUGGGCUCAGUUUUAUUUUAUUUUUCCCCUUUUCCCAUAACUGUAUUGCAGUCGUUUCCCAGAAUUUGUGAGUCACCCAAGGUUGACCCAAUAGCCAAAAUGUACGCUAGGCUGCACACAACUCCCAAGGUCUAGUCCGUCUCACUGCCCCCCCUCCUUCCUCCAUUUUAAAGACAGCUCUGUAACAUAGCUGUAUUGCUGCUAAGCCCCACUCCCUUCCAGCCCCUCUGAAGCAGUAAGCCACUCUGCUAAUCGCUAAUUGUUCUCAUACUGCGGCUCAGGGAGAGGCUGUCCUCGCCGCGUCCCCGCAGGCUAAUGCCCAGCUAACGGAGCGUCAGCCAGGAGAUGGGUCAGAGGACAUUUAGCGGGGUCUUAGCGGCCUGCCCUGUUAAGUGACUCGCCAGAACUGCUGGAAGGAAGGAGGGCUGGGAGCGCUAAAGCAAAGGAGUUGUUUUUGUUAUGUUGGGGGAGGAGGGGUCAAGUUUUAAUGAGAUAAAGGGCAAACGAGUGUUAAACACCAUUUCAAAACUGUAUGGAUUGUGAAGGAGUGGUAAACCUGCCCACCUGAAAAUGCAUUAAAUCAGUACAAUAAAAGCCAACUUGGUUCUACAUUGAA